Molecule: transfer RNA, 82 nt
Filed under: Dendronephthya gigantea
Lineage: Eukaryota; Metazoa; Cnidaria; Anthozoa; Malacalcyonacea; Nephtheidae
Description: tRNA-Leu
Rfam family: tRNA
About the family: Transfer RNA (tRNA) molecules are approximately 80 nucleotides in length. Their secondary structure includes four short double-helical elements and three loops (D, anti-codon, and T loops).
Source: RNAcentral
GGUAGCGUGGCCGAGUGGUCUAAGGCGCUUGUUUAAGGCACCAGUCAUUUCGAUGGCGUGGGUUCGAAUCCCACCGCUGCCA